Molecule: long non-coding RNA, 1006 nt
Organism: Anopheles gambiae (African malaria mosquito)
Lineage: Eukaryota; Metazoa; Arthropoda; Insecta; Diptera; Culicidae
Exons: 2
Source: RefSeq, a predicted model, not a curated record
ACGGAGGCUACAUAUGCGCAAAUAUUCCUGCGCAACCGGAAAAGAUACAUCAAAGGCUAGGGCACUAGUGGAUGACGGAGACAUUGCCUCACAAAUGCUACCUCUGUCGUACAAAUAUGUUUUUUCAUCCAAAAAGGUAAACGCUUCGGGCCGCAAAACAGCGUAAAACCCCAAACUGUCUGCCGGAGCAGUACAGUGAAGAAGUGAGGAAUGCGAAAACGAUGGAGUACAACAGAGAAAGAAGGAACGCAAUGCAUUACAACACUGCGAAUGCUACGACACGGCGGGUCCACGGCGAAAAUGCACGGCGAGAUACUUCAACAAAUCAAAACAUGUCAUCGGAAUCCUCAUUCCAACCACGAUCGACUAGAAGACGUCGUCGGUUCCGUCGUCGAAGAAACUGUAAUAACCCAAAUCGAGCAGCGUUUCCGGACACCAGCAGCUCACCUAUUAUGGAAGCUGUUGCAUCGCUUAUAAACGGAACGCAGAACGAGGACAUACAGAUGUGUAUGUCCUUGGCAACUCUUUUUCGCCGACUACCAUCCGAUCGCAAGAUUGCAGUGUACGCAUCCAUACAAACAUACAUCAUCCGUCAACUUCUUGGUGCAGAACACCAUGAUGUUGUCAGUGAUCCAUGCAUCGUAGAUGUAUCUACCCGUAGGGAAGAUUUGAAUAGUGUAGAAGUUAAAAGACCGCCUGAGGAACGAUAAUAUUUGAUAAAACUCUUCUUGUAAUAAUAAAGUAAUUUGAAACAAAUUUAAUUUGUUAGUUUCAAAAUUUGAAACUUGAUUGCAAAAAAAAAAAAUCCUUACUAAAAAGCCGAUUGGUUUUUAACAGAUUAAAGCAAUAGAAAUAAAUCAAUGGAAUGUAGCUAUCAUUCUGAACUUUAUAAAUUACUGAAUUAUCAUUGGGUUUUUUAUAAUUAGUUUAACUUUGAAAAAUGAUGUAAUUUGAAACAUUAUUAAAAAUUAUUAAAAAUAAAAAAUAAACGUAAAAAGAUAAAAAA